Molecule: ribosomal RNA, 423 nt
Filed under: uncultured bacterium
Lineage: Bacteria
Description: partial 16S ribosomal RNA
Rfam family: Bacterial small subunit ribosomal RNA
Source: RNAcentral
UCAGCACUAACACAUGCAAGUAGAGCGGUAAGGCCCUUUGGGGUACACGAGCGGCGAAGGGUGAGUAACACGUGAGCAACCUGCCCCCGANUCCGGGAUAAGCGGUGGAAACCCCGUCUAAUACCGGAUACGCCCCGUCACCUCANGGUGUUUGGGUCGAAAGUUUUUUCGGUUGGGGANGGGCUCGCGGCCAAUCAGCUUGUUGGUGGGGUAACGGCCCACCAAGGGGAUUANGNGCCGACNUGAGAGGGCGNCCGGCCACANUGGGAGAGACNCGGCCCAGACUCAUACGGGAGGCAGCAAUGGGGAAUAUUGCACAAUGGGCGCAACCAUGAUGCAGCGACCCGGCGUGGGGGAUGACGGCCUUCGGGUCUAAACAUCUUUUAACACUCACGCAGGGUACCUUNUCGNGGANCCCNANCC